UAUGUGAUCGUCUCUCGCAUAUCAAUAAGCGGAGGAAAAGAAACUAACAAGGAUUCCCCUAGUAACGGCGAGUGAAGCGGGAAGAGCUCAAAUUUGAAAUCUUACAGGGUUUCCCUUUCACGAAUUGUAGUUUAAAGAAGUGUUUUCUGUUGAGGUUUUGGUAAAAGUUCUUUGGAAUAGGACAUCAUAGAGGGUGAGAAUCCCGUAUUUGACCUUUACUUUCAACUUUGUGAUACACUUUCAAAGAGUCGGAUUGUUUGGGAAUGCAGUCCAAAAUGGGUGGUAAAUUUCAUCUAAAGCUAAAUAUUGGCGAGAGACCGAUAGCGAACAAGUACCGUGAGGGAAAGAUGAAAAGAACUUUGAAAAGAGAGUUAAACAGUACGUGAAAUUGUCAAAAGGGAAGCGUUUGACACCAGUGUUGUUUUUCUGAAAAUCAAUUAAAGAACUGUUUAUGCUAAGCUGUUUAGACUUUAUCAGCUAUCUGUUUAGUUUUGAGCUUUUCUUUAAUGCACUUUUCAGUUAACAAGUCAACAUCAAUUUCUUUUGCUGUAAAAAAGCUUGAGGAAGGUGGCUUGAGAUUCGUCUUAAGUGUUUAUAGCCUCUUGCCUAUGCAGUCGGAGAGAUUGAGGUCUGCAGCGUAGAUCCUUCGGGGCUAAAUGCAUUUGUGCUAAGUUAUAGCAUUUUAUAGACAACUUGUUGACUAUGAUUUGUCUUGUAGCUUACUCGCUUAUGUUAUUUUACCUACGCUUAGGAUGUUGAACGCAUGUCUCUCUCU
Molecule: ribosomal RNA, 775 nt
Filed under: uncultured Neocallimastigales
Lineage: Eukaryota; Fungi; Neocallimastigomycota; Neocallimastigomycetes; Neocallimastigales
Description: partial large subunit ribosomal RNA
Rfam family: Eukaryotic large subunit ribosomal RNA
Source: RNAcentral